This is a long non-coding RNA of Aedes albopictus (Asian tiger mosquito), 2389 nucleotides long. RefSeq lists it as uncharacterized. The transcript has 2 exons. The record is from RefSeq and is a predicted model, not a curated record. Lineage: Eukaryota; Metazoa; Arthropoda; Insecta; Diptera; Culicidae.
CAUUUUUGCACUAAAAAUUGCAUUUAUUUUAUAGCGCAUUUAAUUCACCACUGGACUAUCGCACUAGUUUUUACGAGUGCGAAAACGCUAAUAAAAGUGCGCGAUAGCAUCAAAUCAACUCGGUGUCUUCAGAGCACUUGUUCACCAUAGAUUGAAGAAAUAGUGCGCCGAAGACAUCAACCUGAUUUGGUGCAAUCGCGCACUUUUAUUUACGUUUUCGCACUUAUGAAGUCGCAGUUCGCAGUCCAGUGGUGAACUAAAUGCGGUAUAUUACACCCGAAUUGAUGCCCGAUAAUGCUAAAUACGCCCAAUACUGUUGCGAUUUUUUUCGGCUUAGACUUUGAUGCAAUAAAUUUCGUCGUACUCAUAUUUCGCUUUCGAUUUCGCUGUCAAUCUCAGUCGCAGGGUUUUUGCAACUCGCCCGAUAAUGUGACAGUUUUCGCCGGCCGUCUCAAUGUUUACCAUUAAAGCCUUUUGUUCUCGGUGCACCAGCUGGUCAUGUUUACACAACAAAACCAGCUGGUUCACCGAUGUUUACGUUCAUCCUUAUGGUCCACUGCACGAAUUUGUGCUGGCCUGCUUACUCUCACAGAAAAUUUGACAUUUGAGCGGUGCCGACACCGCUCAAACGUCAAAUUUCGUGUGAGAGUAAGCAGGCCAGAAUAAAUUCGUGCAGUAAUCCAUUGUUCUCGGCUACCAGCUGUUUAUGUUUUCAUAACAAGAUCAGCUGGUUUCGCCUGAAUCGGGAAAAGAAGGCGAAAAUGUGUCAUAAAUGUUAGGUUAGUACCAUAUUAGGGCGAGUUCAAAUUCGUCGCCAAAGUCUGAUUAUUCGUAAAAAAAUACAAUAUGCACCUUGUUUUUGAUUUUGACAGGAUUUCGCCGUGUUUACGUUUUGAUUUUAGUUUCGCCUUUUACUUUCGUAAACAAAACACCAGAAGUGGAAGGCGUAAUUCUUGUUUUUGUUUCGUGCGACGUAGAAUGGAAUUUCGCCUUCCACUCAAUCCGAGAUUUUCAAUAGUUAGAAAAGUGAUAUCAAAGAAAACUUGUGAGUCUAGCAUCUUUUCACUACUAUAAUCACUUAAAUUGUAUGCAAUUUUUCCGGAUUUGAGUACUUUUUCUACGUAUGACAUCCCAAUGACAUCCCUAUAGUCUAUUUUACGAAACGACAACAGUGUUGAUAUUGAUAUUAACACUCACGGGCUUGGGCGCAACCUCCUGUCAAAUUUUCAUUCAUGAAAUGAGCGAUCAGCUGAUCCGAAACGUCUCGUAAAAUGGCUCAUUGGCUUCUUUAGCGGUGUUGAGAUAAUUCCAUAUUCAGAAUCUGCAUGCAAAACUGAUCCGAAAUCCAAAUUUUCAUGAAUUUAUGUGCCCGGGAACCUAUUUAAAAAUCAGUUUGAAGUUUGUAUGGGAGCGAUUUGUUGAAUCACCCCACUGGGCGGAGCUGUCAAGCAGUUGGCCAGCUGUCAAAAGGUGAUUUCGAAACAUCUGUUCGAAAGAGAUUUUAAGUACCAAAAUUAGGUUCUAAAAAUCUGAAAAAAAUCAUCCCGCAUAGUGAAAAACAAUUUGUCUUAAUCUCCAAACAGUAAUUUUCUUGUAUCUGUUGUUGUUAAUGUAUAACAAACAGUUGCUUUUAUGUCGAAGAUUAUGAGGUUCGACGCAUUCAACUUUAAAUCACAGUCUAUGUAAUCCAUACCAAUUGGUGACAUUAUAUUACACUGUGCAGAUAUUGUUGAAUGUUAUGAUGAUGGAAACUCGCAAAUAAAGGUGGCAAUAUUAAAUCACAUUAUGUCAAACUGUUUGUGCUCCUUCUGUGCAACACACUGACACACAUGCGUAAAAACGGAUAGUUACUAAUGUUGAACAAUAUGACAAACAGUUGCACCCAUUAGUAUUAGUGAAUCAAUGAAAACUGGCUGACGGCUGCAAACUUUCAAAACAGAGAGAAACAAAUUGAGAGUAGAAAAAUGUGAAAAUUCCUAUUUUGUUUUAGAGAAGUUUGGUGAAUAUCUGCCGCAAAUAAUUGUUGCAUUAGAGCAUGAGUUCACGUGUUGUUAGCGACGGAACCGAAGCGGUUCCCACCAGGAGACGUUUAUAGCCGUCCUCAUUGGGGGCCUACACGGCAUCACUCCGGUGAUCAACUUCCUUUUCAUCUGGAAUGGCUGCCGUGUAUAUCGCGCAUCAUCCGGACGGCUCAGCAACGAGACAAGAUGUGCUUCGUCCACCUAUGGUGAGAAAUUUAUCAGCAGCAAGAUGCUGGUGUUUCUACGGAGGGACACUGGAUAGUGAAGUCUGCUGACACCGGUAUGCACGAACGACGACGGAGUUGGAGAAGCAGAAGGACACAUUUUAUAUAGGCAUAUGAGAUUGUAAUUAAUAAAUAUAAUUGUUU